RNAcentral lists this ribosomal RNA (255 nucleotides) under uncultured bacterium. RNAcentral's name for it is "partial 16S ribosomal RNA". It matches the Rfam family "Bacterial small subunit ribosomal RNA", at positions 524 to 777 of the family's 1533-position model. The record is from RNAcentral.
UACGAAGGGGGCUAGCGUUGUUCGGAAUCACUGGGCGUAAAGCGCACGUAGGCGGAUCUUUUAAGUCAGGGGUGAAAUCCCAAGGCUCAACCUUGGAACUGCCUUUGAUACUGGGGAUCUCGAGUCCGGAAGAGGUUGGUGGAACUGCGAGUGUAGAGGUGAAAUUCGUAGAUAUUCGCAAGAACACCAGUGGCGAAGGCGGCCAACUGGUCCGGUACUGACGCUGAGGUGCGAAAGCGUGGGGAGCAAACAGGG